Non-coding RNA from Procambarus clarkii (red swamp crayfish), 711 nucleotides. Lineage: Eukaryota; Metazoa; Arthropoda; Malacostraca; Decapoda; Cambaridae. The record is from RefSeq and is a predicted model, not a curated record.
ACGAUACUGUACUAUGCUGUACUGUGUUGUACUGUACAUACAGCUUGAAUAAUUAAUGUUAUUAUUUAAAAAGUAUAAUAAUAUAUAUAAUAAUAAGUAUUGGAAAAUCAUCAUUUGUGAGUGUAAUGUAAAACAUUAAAUGUAUGUAAUUAAUUAUUUAAUUAUAUACAAGAAGGUACAUUGUGUUUGUGGGAAUACAUAGCAUAAUACAGUAAUUACACUCUUGUAAAGCCGCUAGUACGCGCAGCGUUUCUGGCAGGUGCGUAAUCUAACAGAUAAUUUAAAAUAGGUAAAUUAUAUAAAACUGAAUAAAAUCUCAUUCAUUUGGUACAUGUAUGUUUCUUAUAGUUUGUGUAUACAUUUUAUUGUAUAUAUUUCAUUUUCCAAAAAUAAAUCUCAUUAACUACUCGGGUAUCCAAUUACGUCGAGGCGACGAAUGACCGUACAGGUUGCGACAAUGUGACGUCAACUGAAAAUGAGAAAGGUGAUUGGCUAUUGAGUAUGUGACGUCAACUGAAAAUGAGAAACGUGAUUGGCUAUUGAGUAUGUGACGUCAACUGCAAAUGAGAAACGUGAUUGGCUAUUGAGUCCACCUGCUCAUUCAGGCGCAACGGAACGUUAUUUUGCCCCUAGAAUUAGCCGAGUAGAGGUGUACAACAGUCUUGAAGGAGCGGUGAUUCCAGUCAUAUCCUGCCGAGCAGAAGCUGGUGG